UCCUCUCUUACAAAACUAUUCCCCUCUUCCCUUAUGGAGGUGGUACUAGCUUCCUCUCUUACAAAACUAUUCCCCUCUUCCCUUAUGGAGGUGGUACUAGCUUCCUCUCUUACAAAACUAUUCCCCUCUUCCCUUAUGAAGGCGGGACUAGCUUCCUCUCUUACAAAACUAUUCCCCUCUUCCCUUAUGGAGGUGGUACUAGCUUCCUCUCUUACAAAACUAUUCCCCUCUUCCCUUAUGGAGGUGGUACUAGCUUCCUCUCUUACAAAACUAUUCCCCUCUUCCCUUAUGGAGGUGGUACUAGCUUCCUCUCUUACAAAACUAUUCCCCUCUUCCCUUAUGGAGGUGGUACUAGCUUCCUCUCUUACAAAACUAUUCCCCUCUUCCCUUAUGGAGGUGGUACUAGCUUCCUCUCUUACAAAACUAUUCCCCUCUUCCCUUAUGAAGGCGGGACUAGCUUCCUCUCUUACAAAAC
Molecule: long non-coding RNA, 475 nt
Organism: Oncorhynchus keta (chum salmon)
Lineage: Eukaryota; Metazoa; Chordata; Actinopteri; Salmoniformes; Salmonidae
Exons: 3
Source: RefSeq, a predicted model, not a curated record